RNAcentral lists this ribosomal RNA (301 nucleotides) under uncultured bacterium. Its description in RNAcentral is "partial 16S ribosomal RNA". It matches the Rfam family "Bacterial small subunit ribosomal RNA", at positions 509 to 807 of the family's 1533-position model. The record is from RNAcentral.
CAGUAGCCGCGGUAAUACGAAGGGGGCUAGCGUUGUUCGGAAUUACUGGGCGUAAAGCGCACGUAGGCGGAUAUUUAAGUCAGGGGUGAAAUCCCGCAGCUCAACUGCGGAACUGCCUUUGAUACUGGGUAUCUUGAGUAUGGAAGAGGUUAGUGGAAUUGCGAGUGUAGAGGUGAAAUUCGUAGAUAUUCGCAGGAACACCAGUGGCGAAGGCGGCUAACUGGUCCAUAACUGACGCUGAGGUGCGAAAGCGUGGGGAGCAAACAGGAUUAGAUACCCCCGUAGUCCCUGUCUCUUAUAC